RNAcentral lists this long non-coding RNA (403 nucleotides) under Elaeis guineensis (African oil palm). Its description in RNAcentral is "long non-coding RNA (EGUI_LNC043218)". Lineage: Eukaryota; Viridiplantae; Streptophyta; Magnoliopsida; Arecales; Arecaceae. The record is from RNAcentral.
CAAGCAAAAUUGAAAGCUUUCUUUCUUCUUUUUUUUCUUUUUUUUACAAGAAAAAAAAAGUUAGUAAGCUGUAUUCAUAAAAAAUCAAAGAAAUCAAAAAUUUUAGCAUUCAUGCCUUCCCCAGCAACGGUGCCAAAAAUUGAUAUUAUCAUGAUGUUGUCGUUAGGACAUCGUGAUUAUCAAAUUAAAUCCAACUUCAAUAAAAUAAAAAAUACAUAGAGAGUAGUGAGUCGGAAUGAAUUCAUAGAGAAGGUAAUACUUUGAUUUGAAAUCUUUAAUUUUAUAAAAAAAUUAAAAAACUAAUUUAAGUUAAAAAAUAAAAAUUAAAAGUAUAAAAAAUAAACUUAGUAUUAAGAUCUACUAUUUAGAUCCUAACUUUUACUUACAAUAAAAAUAAAAGAUA